This 515-nucleotide ribosomal RNA is filed under the name uncultured bacterium. RNAcentral's name for it is "partial 16S ribosomal RNA". It matches the Rfam family "Bacterial small subunit ribosomal RNA", at positions 28 to 523 of the family's 1533-position model. The record is from RNAcentral.
GAAGAACGCUGGCGGCGUGCCUAAUACAUGCAAGUCGAGCGAAUGGAUUAAGAGCUUGCUCUUAUGAAGUUAGCGGCGGACGGGUGAGUAACACGUGGGUAACCUGCCCAUAAGACUGGGAUAACUCCGGGAAACCGGGACUAAUACCGGAUAACAUUUUGAACCGCAUGGUUCGAAAUUGAAAGGCGGCUUCGGCUGUCACUUAUGGAUGGACCCGCGUCGCAUUAGCUAGUUGGUGAGGUAACGGCUCACCAAGGCAACGAUGCGUAGCCGGCCUGAGAGGGUGAUCGGCCACGCUGGGACUGAGACACGGGCCAGACUCCUACGGGAGGCAGCAGUAGGGAAUCUUGCGCAAUGGACGAAAGUCUGACGGAGCAACGCCGCGUGAGUGAUGAAGGCUUUCGGGUCGUAAAACUCUGUUGUUAGGGAAGAACAAGUGCUAGUUGAAUAAGCUGGCACCUUGACGGUACCUAACCAGAAAGCCACGGCUAACUACGUGCCAGCCGCCGCAGUAA